AACGAACGCUGGCGGCAGGCCUAACACAUGCAAGUCGAGCGAGGACUUCGGUUCUAGCGUCGGACGGGGGAGUAACGCGUGGGAACGUGCCCUUUGCUUCGGAAUAGCUCUGGGAAACUGGGAGUAAUACCGGAUGAGUCCUUUGGGGGAAAGAUUGAUCGGCGAAGGGUCGGCCCGCGUUGGAUCAGGUAGUGGGUGGGGUGAUGGCCUUCCAAGCCGACGAUCCAUAGCUGGUUGGAGAGGAUGAUCAGCCACACUGGGACUGAGACACGGCCCAGACUCGUACGAGAGGCAGCAGAGGGGAAUCUAAGGGAAGGGGGCAAACCCUGAUCUAGCCAUGCCGCGUGAGCGAUGAAGGCCUUAGGGUUGUAAAGCACUAGCAGCGGGGAAGGUAAUGACGGUACCAGCAGAAGAAGCCCCGGCUAACUCCGUG
RNAcentral lists this ribosomal RNA (433 nucleotides) under uncultured bacterium. RNAcentral's name for it is "partial 16S ribosomal RNA". It matches the Rfam family "Bacterial small subunit ribosomal RNA", at positions 29 to 507 of the family's 1533-position model. The record is from RNAcentral.